GCUGCCAGUGCCGAGAAAGAUCUGCCUGAAAAUGUUUCACUGCGAGGGAAGUAGCAACAUCGUAGCUACAGUAAAAACAGCACUCGAGAUAGCCUGCUGCAUUCAUUUUAUCCACUGCUCCCUUUUUUACCUAUGAGGGGAAUUAGCUCAAAUGGUAGAGCGCUCGCUUAGCAUGCGAGAAGUAGCGGGAUCGAUGCCCGCAUUCUCCAAACAUUUUCCCGUCCCAGCGUGUGGUUAAAUUUAUGUAAACGAGAGGAAUGACAUGCAUGACCUGGCUCUCCUCUGCUGAGACCGAUCCGGGCCCAGCAGCGCAGGCCCAGCUCUAACAGUGGUCCUCCCUACAGGUUGGCCUGUUCCCCUCCCCUUUGGCACCAGCUCCUGACACGACAAAAGAGGAUUGCUCUGAAGCGUUCCUGCUGGAUACAGAUCUGCCAAGCACACCUCUGCCACUGCCCUUGAAAGAUUCUCCACUGGGCUCAUCAAGAAAUUAGGUUGCCUUUUCAUCUUAGACCACGGCCCAUGGACAGAGCCCAUUAGAACUGCCAGUGAUGUCCUACUGGUCAAGCACCACGGGGAGGAAGUGACCCUGAAGUGGGAGGAUCUGCUUUGCUGCAGAGAGUUUGUUUGUUACUGCAGAGAGUACCGUAAAGCCACAUCCCCUUCCACCUGCACUUACACAGCAGAAAACCUCACCAAUUCAAGGAUACCAUUUGAGGAUUUUUCUGCGGCCGCCUUCUUUCAAUGGGAGCUGGAGGCCUCGAUGCAGAGGAAGGAGAGAGGAAUGGGCGAACUGAGAAAAUCCUUAGAGCAGAAUCCGUCCGGCCGUCUGUACAGGUUCUACCACCAGCCGCUGAAACAAGGCCCCAACAGCCCUCACACACAUACCGGCUUUCCUUGAGUUGGAGGAAAAUAUCUACUGCCUAGCCAAAGUGUUUUCCCUGUACCUUGCCUUUUAUGAGAUUGAAAGAUAGAGAUGGAUGGUGAAGAGGGGGGGUGACUCUACAGACACA
Oncorhynchus keta (chum salmon) is the source of this 1010-nucleotide long non-coding RNA. RefSeq lists it as uncharacterized. Lineage: Eukaryota; Metazoa; Chordata; Actinopteri; Salmoniformes; Salmonidae. The record is from RefSeq and is a predicted model, not a curated record. The transcript has 3 exons.